RNAcentral lists this ribosomal RNA (274 nucleotides) under uncultured bacterium. RNAcentral describes it as "partial 16S ribosomal RNA". It matches the Rfam family "Bacterial small subunit ribosomal RNA", at positions 523 to 796 of the family's 1533-position model. The record is from RNAcentral.
AUACGGGGGGUGCAAACGUUGCUCGGAAUUAUUGGGCGUAAAGCGCAUGUAGGCGGUCCGUUAAGUCGGAUGUGAAAGCCCUCGGCUCAACCGAGGAAGUGCAUUCGAAACUGACAGACUUGAGUAUGGGAGAGGGUGGCGGAAUUCCCGGUGUAGAGGUGAAAUUCGUAGAUAUCGGGAGGAACACCAGUGGCGAAGGCGGCCACCUGGACCAAUACUGACGCUGAGGUGCGAAAGCGUGGGGAGCAAACAGGAUUAGAAACCCCAGUAGUCC